GCCUGAGUGGCUCAGUUGGUUGAGUGACUGACUUCGGGUCAGGUCAUGAUCUCGCGGUUUGUGAGUUCGAGCCCCGCAUCGGGCU
Molecule: transfer RNA, 85 nt
Filed under: Felis catus (domestic cat)
Lineage: Eukaryota; Metazoa; Chordata; Mammalia; Carnivora; Felidae
Rfam family: tRNA
About the family: Transfer RNA (tRNA) molecules are approximately 80 nucleotides in length. Their secondary structure includes four short double-helical elements and three loops (D, anti-codon, and T loops).
Source: Rfam by way of RNAcentral